UAACGGUGUAUAUAGGGCGCAAGUUUUAGAUACAGCCGACGAGUGGCGGACGGGUGAGUAACACGUAGGAAUCUGCCCUAAAGUGGAGGACAACCCGGGGAAACCCGGGCUAAUACUGCAUAAUACCUGAGGGUUAAAGCUGCCAUGCAUUUAGGUGCUGGAGGUGCUUUAGGAUGAGCCUACGUCCGAUUAGCUAGUUGGUGAGGUAAAGGCCCACCAAGGCGACGAUCGGUAGCUGGUCUGAGAGGAUGAUCAGCCACACUGGGACUGAGACACGGCCCAGACUCCUACGGGAGGCGGCAGUGGGGAAUAUUGGACAAUGGGGGCAACCCUGAUCCAGCAAUACCGCGUGUGUGAAGAAGGCCUGCGGGUUGUAAAGCACUUUCGGUGGUGAGGAAGUUUACUGGGUUAAGAGCUAGGUAAAUUGACGUUAGCCACAGAAGAAGCACCGGCUAACUCUGUGCCAGCAGCCGCGGUAAUACAGAGGGUGCGAGCGUUAAUCGGAAUUAUUGGGCGUAAAGGGCACGUAGGCGGUUAUUUAAGUUAUCUGUGAAAUACCUGGGCUCAACCGAGGAAUUGCAGUUAAGACUGAAUGACUUGAGUAUAGUAGAGGGUAGCGGAAUUUCCGGUGUAGCGGUGAAAUGCGUAGAUAUCGGAAAGAACACCGGUGGCGAAGGCGGCUACCUGGACUGAUACUGACGCUGAAGUGCGAGAGCGUGGGGAGCGAACAGGAUUAGAUACCCUGGUAGUCCACGCUGUAAACGAUGAAUACUAGCAGUUAGGGUGCAUAAGACACUUUAGUUGCGCAGC
RNAcentral lists this ribosomal RNA (810 nucleotides) under uncultured Gammaproteobacteria bacterium. RNAcentral's name for it is "bacterial SSU rRNA". It matches the Rfam family "Bacterial small subunit ribosomal RNA", at positions 64 to 852 of the family's 1533-position model. The record is from RNAcentral. Lineage: Bacteria; Pseudomonadati; Pseudomonadota; Gammaproteobacteria.